This 81-nucleotide transfer RNA is filed under the name Roseobacter sp. AzwK-3b. Its description in RNAcentral is "tRNA-Leu". It matches the Rfam family "tRNA". Rfam says of the family: Transfer RNA (tRNA) molecules are approximately 80 nucleotides in length. RNAcentral also lists the same sequence under 1 other name. Lineage: Bacteria; Pseudomonadati; Pseudomonadota; Alphaproteobacteria; Rhodobacterales; Roseobacteraceae. The record is from RNAcentral.
GCCCAAGUGGCGGAACGGUAGACGCAGGGGAUUCAAAAUCCCCCGCCGCAAGGCGUGUGGGUUCGAAUCCCACCUUGGGCA